GACGAACGCUGGCGGCGUGCCUAAUACAUGCAAGUAGAACGCUGAAGGAGGAGCUUGCUUCUCUGGAUGAGUUGCGAACGGGUGAGUAACGCGUAGGUAACCUGCCUGGUAGCGGGGGAUAACUAUUGGAAACGAUAGCUAAUACCGCAUAAUAGUAGAUGUUGCAUGACAUUUGCUUAAAAGGUGCAAUUGCAUCACUACCAGAUGGACCUGCGUUGUAUUAGCUAGUUGGUGAGGUAACGGCUCACCAAGGCAACGAUACAUAGCCGACCUGAGAGGGUGAUCGGCCACACUGGGACUGAGACACGGCCCAGACUCCUACGGGAGGCAGCAGUAGGGAAUCUUCGGCAAUGGACGGAAGUCUGACCGAGCAACGCCGCGUGAGGGAAGAAGGGUUUCGGAUCGUAAAGCUCUGUUGUAAGAGAAGAACGAGUGUGAGAGUGGAAAGUUCACACUGUGACGGUAUCUUACCAGAAAGGGACGGCUAACUACGUG
This 495-nucleotide ribosomal RNA is filed under the name uncultured bacterium. Its description in RNAcentral is "partial 16S ribosomal RNA". It matches the Rfam family "Bacterial small subunit ribosomal RNA", at positions 28 to 507 of the family's 1533-position model. The record is from RNAcentral.